This 65-nucleotide transfer RNA is filed under the name Anisocentropus kawamurai. Its description in RNAcentral is "tRNA-Leu". The record is from RNAcentral. Lineage: Eukaryota; Metazoa; Arthropoda; Insecta; Trichoptera; Calamoceratidae.
UCUAAUAUGGCAGAAUUAUAUGCAUUGAAUUUAAACUUCAAUUAUAAAUAUUUAUUUUUUUAGAA